Molecule: long non-coding RNA, 1540 nt
Filed under: Parus major (Great Tit)
Lineage: Eukaryota; Metazoa; Chordata; Aves; Passeriformes; Paridae
Description: lncRNA (ENSPMJG00000018103.1)
Source: RNAcentral
CCUAGAAAAAGCUGUGAUUAAAAAAACUAAAACUGUCAGAGGUCAAGAAAUUCAUAGUUAGAGCAGCAUAGCCUCUGCCCUUCUCUCCUCACAUCUUGCCUGCAGGACAAGGAAUAAAAAACCUCCUGGAACUGGCACAAACAAGUGUGGGACGAGAUUUCCUCCAGCACACAAGAUUCUGCAGGACUGUGGUAUUUAAAGAGCAUUUUAGUUUGCAAAUGUUUCCUGCAUCUGGAAAAUGGUUACUUGGAUAUUUAUACACUACGUAAAUAAUAUAUAAAAUACACAAAUACCAUAGAAUCAUAGAGUAUCAUGAGUUGGAAAAGACCAUUGAGUCCUAUAAAUAGAUACAGAAUUUAGAAGCAACAUGAUGCUAUAAUUGACAUAUAUCUUUCUUCAAAUAGAUUUGCACCAGAGGCACAAGGAGAAUUUGACACACUUGCUGCAAAGAGGUUUUCAUGCCCCGAACGUGAAACCACCAGGACUGGCUGAAGGACACUCUGUGCCCAGGGACUGGGGAGCUGAGACCUGAAAUGGAGAAUCUUAUCCCUCCUUUGGAAGUGGAUUGAAAAGCAUUGUUAUGAAAUCCCAGUGCAGAUUUUAUUAUGGGCUAAAUCAAAAUGCUUUGGAGUUUUUGGAAUUCAGAUCUGAAGUUCAAUGUUUCAGCCCAUAUGCUCCAUCUAAAAAAUUUCACUAGAGAUCCUACCAACAUUAAAUACUCUGUGAAGCCUCAGGAGCUCCUGAGAUGAUGGAUGACAUCAAGAGCCAAAAGAACAUGUACAAAGCAUCUGCAGAAAGAGAUCCUUAAUGACUGUGUGAAGUCUGUUGAUUUGUUGCCAGCACAUGCUCUCACUCUCCAUGUCAGCAUUUGCAACAAUGGGAUCCUCACUUUGGAAAUUUCAGCUGCUUAUAGGAAGUUUAGGUGUUCAAAAUGGCCACUGCAAUGGGCUUGUAUAACAUCUAAUGCACAGAAAUCCACCAUAAUUUUGAAGAAUAAAGUGGGAAUUUAUUUUUCAUUAUUGGAAGAAAUACUUUGUUUUCUGCUAUUACAAGGAAUGAUCAAAGACUCAGAGCCCUUUGGAAAGAGUUUCCAAUAGUGUGGCAUUUAUUGCGAGCAAUUUGUGAUUACUGUUGGAGCACAAAAACAUUGUAAAUCUGAUGAAGGAGAGCCCAGAAGGCAGGAUUGAGCACCUCCUGUGUCCUAGAUUCAGCAGAGGAACUGAUGUGAAAAAGAAGCAGGAUCUGCUGGAUGGAAAGCUCAAACGAUGUAUCACAGGAAAUACAAUUUCCCUGCUGUUUGCACAGGCUCUAGUCCAGAAGCAGCAAUGCAUCUGGGUAGUGGAUUUGCAAAAUGUUUGCUGGCUGUGGUUCCUCCUCCAGGUUUUUAGAAGAUCCACCCAAAGGGAACAGGCUCAGGUGCAGAGACUUUCCCCAUUCAGCCAGCAAGCAGGGCACCAAUGCUUCCUUUGAACAGAAAUGCCUGAAUAUAAACAUCUACAUAUCUUUGGCAGCUCUUGACUACAAGAUAUGAAAAGGGAAU